AAUAAGACUUUAAUUGAGUGCUAAAAGAAUGGAUUUUCAGAAAAUUUCUUUUUUAAAAUUAAUAAUUUAAUUUAUUUUUGUAUGUGAAGAAACAACAAUAAAAAUUAAGGACAAGAAGACCCUAAGAAUUUUUAAAAAAUAAUUUUAAAUUUAAAAUUAUUUUUUUUAAUUGGGGCGAUUAAUAAAUAUAAUUAACUUUAUUUUAAAUAAAUAUGAACCAUUAUUAAUGGUUAAAUGAAUAAAAUACUCUAGGGAUAACAGCGUAAUAAUUUUUGAUAGUUCCUAUAGACAAAAUAGUUUGCGACCUCGAUGUUGGAUUAGGAUUCUUAUUUAAUGAAGAAGUUAAAAAAAGAAGUUUGUUCAACUUUUAAAUUCCUACUUGAUCUGAGUUCAGACCG
This 398-nucleotide ribosomal RNA is filed under the name Amblyomma marmoreum. RNAcentral describes it as "partial large subunit ribosomal RNA". The stretch from base 254 to 398 matches the Rfam family "Bacterial large subunit ribosomal RNA", at positions 2473 to 2618 of the family's 2925-position model. The record is from RNAcentral. Lineage: Eukaryota; Metazoa; Arthropoda; Arachnida; Ixodida; Ixodidae.